GAUGAACGCUGGCGGCGUGCCUAAUACAUGCAAGUCGAGCGAACGGACGAGAAGCUUGCUUCUCUGAUGUUAGCGGCGGACGGGUGAGUAACACGUGGAUAACCUACCUAUAAGACUGGGAUAACUUCGGGAAACCGUAGCUAAUACCGGAUAAUAUUUUGAACCGCAUGGUUCAAAAGUGAAAGACGGUCUUGCUGUCACUUAUAGAUGGAUCCGCGCUGCAUUAGCUAGUUGGUAAGGUAACGGCUUACCAAGGCAACGAUGCAUAGCCGACCUGAGAGGGUGAUCGGCCACACUGGAACUGAGACACGGUCCAGACUCCUACGGGAGGCAGCAGUAGGGAAUCCUCCGCAAUGGGCGAAAGCCUGACGGAGCAAUGCCGCGUGAGUGAUGAAGGUCUUCGGAUCGUAAAACUCUGUUAUUAGGGAAGAACAUAUGUGUAAGUAACUGUGCACAUCUUGACGGUACCUAAUCAGAAGGCCACGGCUAACUACGUG
RNAcentral lists this ribosomal RNA (497 nucleotides) under uncultured bacterium. Its description in RNAcentral is "partial 16S ribosomal RNA". It matches the Rfam family "Bacterial small subunit ribosomal RNA", at positions 28 to 507 of the family's 1533-position model. The record is from RNAcentral.